RNAcentral lists this unclassified non-coding RNA (249 nucleotides) under Glomeraceae sp. RNAcentral's name for it is "partial contains 5.8S ribosomal RNA and internal transcribed spacer 2". The stretch from base 1 to 71 matches the Rfam family "5.8S ribosomal RNA", at positions 84 to 154 of the family's 154-position model. Lineage: Eukaryota; Fungi; Glomeromycota; Glomeromycetes; Glomerales; Glomeraceae. The record is from RNAcentral.
GUGAAUCAUCGAAUCUUUGAACGCAAAUUGCACUCUCUGGUAUUCCGGAGGGUAUGCCUGUUUGAGGGUCAGUUUAAAUAAAAAUCGGUGUUGUUUCUUCCUUUCGUGGUGACGCACCGGAUUUGAGUCGUCUUGCCUUCGGUGAAGUGACCUAAAAUUUUGCAUGAUUUUUUUCUUACUUAUGGAAAUGAUUUUACGUACGUUUGCGAUAUCGAAUACUAGGUUUUGUCAUCCCGAUGAGUCGCGCCU